ACUUCUAAUACUACUAUGACACUGCCAUAAUAAUACAAUAUAACAAUAAUCACAUAAUAAUUAUAAUAUGAAUGUUAUCAUAAUAUAAUAUAAUCAUUAUAGUCUGUCCAUAUUGAUUACCAAAUUUCUUUAACAUAGAUAUACAAUACAUCAUUAUAGAAAAUUCUAAUAGUACAUUAGAAUAUCAUCAAGUUAAAAAAGCAGACAUAAACCCAACCAAUAUAUUUCAUAGGAACCUGAAUCCCAUCAAUGCAGUUAAUAAAUAUAUUUAAAGAAACAAAGAAUAUGAGUAGAGGCUGAGUCAAUGUUGAGGAGGUGUUAGCUUUUGUGUGUUUGUGUGUGUGUGUGUGUGUGUGCGUGAGAGAGAGAGAGAGAGAGAGAGAGAG
Molecule: long non-coding RNA, 386 nt
Filed under: Elaeis guineensis (African oil palm)
Lineage: Eukaryota; Viridiplantae; Streptophyta; Magnoliopsida; Arecales; Arecaceae
Description: long non-coding RNA (EGUI_LNC035431)
Source: RNAcentral